This 1744-nucleotide ribosomal RNA is filed under the name Triticum aestivum (bread wheat). RNAcentral describes it as "partial small subunit ribosomal RNA". The record is from RNAcentral. Lineage: Eukaryota; Viridiplantae; Streptophyta; Magnoliopsida; Poales; Poaceae.
CCCCCACCCCACCACCCAGCACCUCCCGUCGCUGGCCCCUACUCCACCGCCCAGCACUUCCCCGUCUCUGGCUGGAAUCCCCCAGCGCGCCUGCCAUCGUCGAGGCGCCGCUGUCCACAGCUUCUCCAGCCGGUGACAGAUCCACCCUCCGCCUACCCCGUCCCCAUUGCUUAGCCAUGGCGACCUUCCCCUGCACCGCGCUGCGACCUGCCUCCCAACGGAAGUUCAACCUAUGCAUGCAUCCCCGUUCUUCUCCGGUCGUCACGGCCGUUCGUCUGUGCUCCACCGAAACGGGCUGCAUCUGGUGAUUGCAUCGCCGGGCUUGUCUGGGAGUUCGUGGCUGGACUUCUCCGGAGGCUUGCGCCGGCGAGCCCCUGCAUCUAGAAUUAUUUAUGCCCUGCCACCCAAGCUCUGUCUCGCUGUAGUGUUCUUCAAAUAGCAUCCACGAAUGUCGUUGUUUUGCUGCCCACUAGGUGUUCGUGCAAAUGUCAAAGAGGGAGCUGGAACGAAAUUCUACAGGUGGUAGUUUAGGAUAAACCAAAAGAUGAAAUAGAUCACUGUGUAGAUUUAUUUUUGUUAAAGCCUACGAUAUUCUUUGGUAGUUCUUAUUGUUCGUUGUAAUCAAUAUGUUGAUGGCAUGCUCGUGCGCUAGCACUUGAUAUGGCAUGCUCGGCCCCUCCUCCGCGGCCGGUGCUCUCCUAGUCCGUGGUCGACACCCAUCCUCCUCCGCGGCCAGCGCCCUCGCUCCCCGCGGCCGGCGCGCUCCUUCCCCAUGGCCGAUGGGCCUCCAGCUCCAUGGCCGGCGCGGUCCCUCCUUGCUGCAGCUUGCCCCUCCUCCAUGGAUGGCCUGCACCGGCUGCCGGAACUCGUUGAGGUGGUACCCUUCAUCCUCGACCUUCAAUUACAGGUUACCAACGACGCUACAAAGAGAAAGCUCAGCGUAUUCCUGCUGGAGCUGGUGUCCGUGCAAGAGCCUGCUUCAGGGAGUCCUUCCUCGUUGACACCGCCGGAGGCGCUCACGAAACUGGCGCUGAAGUGCAUGACCAAUGACCAUGCGGCUCCUAACAUGUCUUCAGUUGCCGCCAAGGUCUACAAGCUCUUCCUAGAGGUGUAGCAUUGCACCGACAAAGUUCCGCAUCCUCGCCAACAUCUCCAUCUCCAUGGCCCAAGAACAGAUGAGUGCUGCUCAACACAUGUAGGCUGCAAACACCUACCAGGAAGCUUCAGCGCCAUGCUGCUAGCACAUGAAGCGCUCGCUGGACAUCACCUACUUCCAGCGUGAGGAGGGCACCUCCUUCAGGGCGAGGUGGAUUUGGACUUCAGUGGUAGUACGAAGAGCACUUCGGGGGACACAGGGUGAACUCAGAAAAAUUCGCCGCCCCUCCCGCUGCUCGUCGCCGACUACAACGACGUGACGAGGCCGAGCUUCCCUGCCAUAGUCGACAUGGAGUUCUCCCCUUUGCUCCAUCGUGUGUGUCCGCGCAAGAAAUUGACCUGCCCCAUGGCCUAACAAGUGACCUUCAUCCCUGUUAGCUUCUUCUAAGUUGCUCCUGCAACCGUGCAGCGCUCCUAGUGCCCAGCACCGGCAUAGAAAUGUGAAUUCAUUCAGUCUAUAUAAAGGACCAAAUAAAUUAUGUGUUGUCAUAAAAAAAUGGGUGUGCCUACGUUUUUGUUGUCUCUUUGCCUCUUUGGUCUGAACAGCCUACUGAAUUACAAGCCGUUGAAACAAAAAACAAGAAGCAUC